Molecule: transfer RNA, 61 nt
Filed under: Gossypium arboreum
Lineage: Eukaryota; Viridiplantae; Streptophyta; Magnoliopsida; Malvales; Malvaceae
Rfam family: tRNA
About the family: Transfer RNA (tRNA) molecules are approximately 80 nucleotides in length. Their secondary structure includes four short double-helical elements and three loops (D, anti-codon, and T loops). Further hydrogen bonds mediate the characteristic L-shaped molecular structure. tRNAs have two regions of fundamental functional importance: the anti-codon, which is responsible for specific mRNA codon recognition, and the 3' end, to which the tRNAs corresponding amino acid is attached (by aminoacyl-tRNA synthetases). tRNAs cope with the degeneracy of the genetic code in two manners: having more than one tRNA (with a specific anti-codon) for a particular amino acid; and 'wobble' base-pairing, i.e. permitting non-standard base-pairing at the 3rd anti-codon position.
Source: Rfam by way of RNAcentral
UAGCUGAUUGGUUAAAGCGUUCAACUUAUAAUUGAAAUAAAUUCGUAGGUUUAAUUCCUAC